RNAcentral lists this ribosomal RNA (254 nucleotides) under uncultured bacterium. RNAcentral describes it as "partial 16S ribosomal RNA". It matches the Rfam family "Bacterial small subunit ribosomal RNA", at positions 524 to 776 of the family's 1533-position model. The record is from RNAcentral.
UACGUAGGGGGCAAGCGUUGUCCGGAUUUAUUGGGCGUAAAGAGCUCGUAGGUGGUUUGGUAAGUCGGAUGUGAAAUCUCCAGGCUCAACCUGGAGGGGUCAUUCGAUACUGCCAUGACUAGAGGUCGGUAGGGGAGUGUGGAAUUCCUGGUGUAGCGGUGAAAUGCGCAGAUAUCAGGAAGAACACCCGUGGCUAAGGCGGCUCUCUAGUACGGUACUGACGCUGAGACGCGAAAGCGUGGGGAGCGAACAGG